UGUGGUUGUAGAGGUUUUACCCCCAAGAGUAGGGGUGGGCAAAAUACCCGACCUGACCCAAAAAAAUUUGGGUCGGGUUGUGAAUAGAACCCGAUCGAGUGCAAUUGUGUCAACCCGAUCGGGUCGUGUUCGGAUCGAUUGAAACCCGAUCCGAUCCGAAAACCCAAUCGGGUUGACACAAAAUUACAAAAAAAAAAUACAAAAUCAAAAUCAUAACCCCAAAACUUAUCCUAAUUCCUAAACACUCACAGUCACACACACCUCUCAACACUCACGAUCCACACACACAAACCCUUACAAACAAAAGCCUAACCAUUGCAUAUGGCACAACUGCACAGGCACUCAAGCAGCAGUGAGCAGCCAACUAUCCACCGGUGCGUCAUCCACCCACAAGCGACGGCCUCCCUCUCUUGCAACUUGGAACCCACCACCGAUAGCCACACAGCCUAUCGCCUGCAACUUGGAACCCACCACCAACAGUCACACAACCCGUCGGUUGCAACAUCCUCCCUCGAACAAACAAAACACACACACACACAUGGAACCCACCACCGAAAGCCACACAACCCGUCGCCUGCAACAUCCUCCCUCAAACAAACAAAACACACACACACACACACACACACACACACACAAAGUUAACGCCUUAACGAAGCAAGCUGCAGCCGACCACCACGCAGCAACCGCCGACCACCACGCAGCAACCGCCGACCCUCCGCGAGGAUCUUGAUCUAAUUCCGAUCGACCGAUCUACUGCUACAAAGUACCGAAUCUGUUGCGCCACCUCCAAGCCUCCAUUCCUCCACCAUCACCUGAUCCGAUUCAAGCUCCAUUAACCCAGCAAGCAGCGACCCAAAUUUUGGCUGUCGAAUUGAGUUUUGGAAGCUUUGAGUUUGAGCUUUGAAACUUGAUGGUGAUGAUAUUUGUGAAAGUGACGCAUGGAAGUGAAGUGUUAAUAAGCCUUUCCCUAAUCUGACCCAUCUCAAACCCGAACCCGAUCCGAUCCGAACUCAACCCGAUCCGAUUCGAUCCGAAUAUAUUCGGAUUGGAUUGGAUUGGAUUGGAUCGGAUCGGGUUAUAAAUUCGGGUUGAAUUCAGAUGAAUUUUUAUUCAACCCGACCAACCCGAAACCCGAUGGGGUUGAUCCGAACCCAACCCUAACCCGAUUUUACUCAGCCCUACCCAAGAGCAUGGAAGAGUGGUUUUUUAGCAGCUUUAUUGCCAUCUACUUGAAUUCAAAUCCUAAAAAGAAAGUAGAGACUAAAAAGAAUAAAUUUUGGAUUUUUC
This 1287-nucleotide long non-coding RNA is filed under the name Citrus maxima (pomelo). Its description in RNAcentral is "long non-coding RNA (CMAX_LNC001733)". Lineage: Eukaryota; Viridiplantae; Streptophyta; Magnoliopsida; Sapindales; Rutaceae. The record is from RNAcentral.